CAUAGGCUCUGCCUGUUUCCCAAUCCUGUUGAGUUUCUCUGUGGUGGCGCCGGAAUUUAUUCCGGAUUUGGUUCGGUUAUUAGAUUGUUUACAGUUUGAUCCGGCAUAGGCCAUGCUUGUUUUUAUAGCAAAAGUUGAUUUGUGUUUUGGUGUUUGUGCCCCUAAAGAUUUCCACCCUCGGUGAGAGAGGUUUGUGAGCACUGAGCUGACCAAUAAACAUUUUCUCAAAUUUUGUUGUGUCAUAUGCUUACAUUCUCAAUAAAAUAUGUUUAAAAUAAAAAAAAAAUUAAAAACAUAAUUUUCAGAACCCAACAUACACUUCAAAUGUAUGAAAUAUGAACAAAAAUAAACAAUGAAAAACAACAACAAAACUGCCUGACAGAACAUGGACGUCAAUUGAUUUUACGUUGUGAAUUUGUGGUUAUCAGACUUAUAAACUCUGCAUGUAUCUUUUUUCACUCGUAUUCAUAAACUAUCAUUUUGUUAUAAAUUCAUGAAAAAGUGUCACAUAAAUAUUUUGAAUAUG
Molecule: long non-coding RNA, 526 nt
Organism: Ostrea edulis (European flat oyster)
Lineage: Eukaryota; Metazoa; Mollusca; Bivalvia; Ostreida; Ostreidae
Exons: 2
Source: RefSeq, a predicted model, not a curated record